GAUGAACGCUGGCGGCGUGCCUAAUACAUGCAAGUCGAGCGAACAGAUAAGGAGCUUGCUCCUUUGAAGUUAGCGGCGGACGGGUGAGUAACACGUGGGUAACCUACCUAUAAGACUGGGAUAACUUCGGGAAACCGGAGCUAAUACCGGAUAACAUUUAGAACCGCAUGGUUCUAAAGUGAAAGAUGGUUUUGCUAUCACUUAUAGAUGGACCCGCGCCGUAUUAGCUAGUUGGUAAGGUAACGGCUUACCAAGGCGACGAUACGUAGCCGACAUGAGAGUGUGAUCGGCCACACUGGAACUGCGACACUGUCCAGACUCCUACGGGAGGCAGCAGUAGGGAAUCUUCCGCAAUGGGCGAAAGCCUGACGGAGCAACGCCGCGUGAGUGAUGAAGGGUUUCGGCUCGUAAAACUCUGUUAUUAGGGAAGAACAAAUGUGUAAGUAACUGUGCACAUCUUGACGGUACCUAAUCAGAAAGCCACGGCUAACUACGUGCCAGCCGCCGCCGUAA
RNAcentral lists this ribosomal RNA (513 nucleotides) under uncultured bacterium. Its description in RNAcentral is "partial 16S ribosomal RNA". It matches the Rfam family "Bacterial small subunit ribosomal RNA", at positions 28 to 523 of the family's 1533-position model. The record is from RNAcentral.